UUCCACAAUUCCCACUACAGCAAAUACCAGGACAAGGCUCAGGUGCUUCAGGCCAACACCACCGUCCAAUGCAGGUCUCAGGAUUUCAACAAAGACAGCAUCGGGGACCUGAUGAAUGGGUUCGGCUACUCUGCCUCCAUCCAAGAGAGGAAGGUGCAUGAGGCCACUGACAAGAGACAGUGCAUCACUGAGAUAUCCCACAGAGCUGUCAGAUAGACUGUCCUUGCAGACCUUCUCCAACAGUGGAGGUUGUUCUCCAGAGCAAUGCAGCCUCUCAGUGCUGGUGGACAUGGUGUCAUUCACUGCCGGUGCCAUGGCAGCAGUGCUGCCGGGAUCACUUAAGUGUGUCCAAGUGAGUAUAAGUUUGCUGCAGCUGCCAUAACAUAGGACCCCACUGGGUGGUAUAUAGAGCAGACACACAUUUUUGCAAUUCCAGAGAAGAGGAGUUACAAGUGAGGGUGUCCCCAGCACAGAUUCCUUUUGAGGGGUUUCUCCCAUGCUCAUAGAAGGCCAUCUUCUGAC
Molecule: long non-coding RNA, 522 nt
Organism: Phyllostomus discolor (pale spear-nosed bat)
Lineage: Eukaryota; Metazoa; Chordata; Mammalia; Chiroptera; Phyllostomidae
Exons: 3
Source: RefSeq, a predicted model, not a curated record